UGAUAUUAAUAUUUUACGUGGUAGAAUAUUCGCAUAUGAUUUUGAUACAUCGUUAUUAUGAUAUUAGAUAUAUCAUAAUUGAGAUAAGUUUUUCCCACACGAAAAUAAAUAUAUUUCCGUGGGAUAUAUUCCUACACACUAAAUUAGUGAUGUAAAGUAGUCAAGCAUAUGUGUAUGUAUUUUUCUAUAUCUCAAUCUCUCUCAAUCUCUCUCAAUCUCUCUCACUCUCGACUCUCUCUCAAUCUCUCUCACUCUCGACUCUCUCUCAAUCUCUCUCAAUCUCUCUCACUCUCGACUCUCUCUCAAUCUCUCUCUUUCUCCCUCACUCUCUCUCACUCUCGGUCUCUCUCUCCCCUCACGCACCCCCUUCCCUCUCUCCCUCAUUACUUCAUUCUCCCCCAUAAAUGUUGCACACAUGCAACAUUAAACCCUAACCUAAAAGGCUAACCUAGUUAGCAAACACAAUCCCAAACUUUAAGCUCUCACACCUCUCUCUCAUAUCUCUCUUUUUCUCGGCUCUCACUCCUCUCUCCUCCCUCCUCCUCUCUUCUCCUUCUCUAUUCACUUCAUAGGAUGACAUACUCCACCAUUACUCCAUCUUUGACUACAAGAUAGUGUAUUAAAAGAAGAUCACACAAGCACAUGCAAGUUUUCUCCCCCCCCCC
This 665-nucleotide long non-coding RNA is filed under the name Salvia miltiorrhiza (redroot sage). RNAcentral's name for it is "long non-coding RNA (SMIL_LNC003466)". The record is from RNAcentral. Lineage: Eukaryota; Viridiplantae; Streptophyta; Magnoliopsida; Lamiales; Lamiaceae.